UGCCAGCAGUCGCGGUUAAACCAAGAAAUUUAGUCAUUCUUUUACGGUAAAAAGACAGUUAGGCAAAAGAAAAAUAAUCAUUAGACCUUUGGUAUAGGAGUAAAAUCUAAAUACUAAAAGUUAUAUUAGUUGUGGUUUAUUAAUAGUGCUGAAUCUGUGAUAGCUUUAAGGGAAACUGGGAUUGGAUACCCCAUUAUUUUUAGUUGUAAAUUUAGUUUAAGCUUACCAGAGUACUACGAAUAAAAAGUUUAAAACUCAAAGGGCUUGGCGGUGUUUUAGACCUCUCAGGGGAACCUGUCUCGUAAUCGACAAUCCACGUUAAACCUAACCUUUUAUGGCGAUACAGCCUGUAUACCGUCGUCGUCAGGUAACUUCUUAAAAUAUAGCAGUUAGCUCGAGAACUUAAUUAAUUAGAACGUCAGAUCAAGGUGCAGCUUAUAAAGAGGUGAGGAUGGGUUACAAUUACAUAUUUGUAAAUACGGAAAAUACUUGAAACAUAGUAUCAUAAAGGAGGACUUGAAAGUAAUUUUAGUUAUAUAAAUAGAAUGAAUAUGGCUCUGAAACGUGCACACAUCGCCCGCCACUCU
This 587-nucleotide ribosomal RNA is filed under the name Conus aulicus. Its description in RNAcentral is "partial 12S ribosomal RNA". It matches the Rfam family "Microsporidia small subunit ribosomal RNA", at positions 391 to 1205 of the family's 1311-position model. The record is from RNAcentral. Lineage: Eukaryota; Metazoa; Mollusca; Gastropoda; Neogastropoda; Conidae.